Molecule: ribosomal RNA, 405 nt
Filed under: uncultured bacterium
Lineage: Bacteria
Description: partial 16S ribosomal RNA
Rfam family: Bacterial small subunit ribosomal RNA
Source: RNAcentral
GACGAACGCUGGCGGCGUGCUUAACACAUGCAAGUCGAGCGGUGCGGCGGACGGGUGAGUAACGCGUGAGUAACUGCCCCCCUCCCUGUGAUAACGGUUGGAAACGGCUGCUAAUACCGGAUAGUGGGGGAUGAUUCGCGUCCUAUCAGCUUGGUGGUGGGGUGGUGGCCGGCCAAGGCGACGCCGGGUAGCCGGCCUGAGAGGUCGGACGGCCACAUGGGGCUGAGAUACGGCCCAAACGCCUACGGGAGGCAGUAGUGGGGAAUAUUGCACAGUCGGGGCAACCGUGAGGCAGCAACGUCGCGGUCGGGAUGACGGUCUAGGGGUUGUAAACCGGUUGCAGCCAUGACGCGGUAGUGGCAGAAGAAGCACCGGCUAACUACGUGCCAGCAGCCGCGGUAAUUC